Molecule: RNA transcript, 1015 nt
Organism: Osmia bicornis bicornis
Lineage: Eukaryota; Metazoa; Arthropoda; Insecta; Hymenoptera; Megachilidae
Exons: 2
Source: RefSeq, a predicted model, not a curated record
GCUGCGGCAACAGCCUGCGCGCGCAUCUAUUUUAAAAUCAGUCAGUUACGACUAUUAACGCAACGGUGACAAGAGAUAUGUUUCCGUAAUAGAAAAGGUUAUAAACGUUGAUUCGUAACGGGAACGGUGGCUGAAAUCGUGUGUGCCACUUAAAUAUAUCUCCGAGGAUUUGUUUUGACCGUGACGAGCAGGUAUAUCCUUUGAUUACUUCGCAGCACGCUUGUCUCGAAUAGCCUAAGAAUGUAAACAGAGUUCGAGCAGUAAGUGUUGUGAUUCCUUCGCGAGCCGAACGUAGUGUCGUUUGCUCUUUGAUUUCGCAUAGACGUUGAACUAAAUAUUGCAUCAAUUCCGUAUUAAAUCGUUUUCUACUCGCGUAAAACGUAUUCGACUUCCAAGUACAGUACAAAAUAUAGGUAAAGGAAUUCGCGUAUCGGGUCAGUGACAUGUGCUUCGAAACGAAAUGCAAAUGGCCGUCAGCGGUCAACGAACAAUUUCGGAGGAAGAGUGUUACGUUUCUUGAGACUGUUGAUACAUACUAAAGACGUUUGCUAAUUAUUAUUAACGGAUAAAAGUGCUCAAGAAAAGAAGAUAACUACAAGCUUCAAGACAUGGCACGCAAAUACAUGGAGCUAGGAACGCAAUAAGGCGGAUUACAAAUACAAGCGUGGAGGGGGUACUACUAAAGCUCAAAGAUUACAGUUCGAGGUACUCUGCGAAUUGCCAUAUGAAAGCAUGGAGGCUGAAGGACACAGGUACCAAAUUUUCAAAGAUUGCUACCCUGAGAAUUAUUCCAUCGCUUGUAUGGCAGUGAAAAUAUUGCCGCCACCACCACGAUAUCAGCCAUCGAUAAAGUCUGUCUCUCUGCAUACACAGAAGCCGAAGAAGCGCAAGAAGACCAGGAAGAAGAAAUAGCUGGCAUGUUCAUUUAUUUUCAUUUAUUUUCAUUUAUUUUCAUUUAUUGUCAUAAAAUAUUAUACACAUUCUGUCGUUUUUAAUAAUAUCGCAGUCGAGUGUA